RNAcentral lists this ribosomal RNA (482 nucleotides) under uncultured bacterium. RNAcentral describes it as "partial 16S ribosomal RNA". It matches the Rfam family "Bacterial small subunit ribosomal RNA", at positions 30 to 507 of the family's 1533-position model. The record is from RNAcentral.
AUUGAACGCUGGCGGCAUGCCUUACACAUGCAAGUCGAACGGUAACAGGUCUUCGGAUGCUGACGAGUGGCGAACGGGUGAGUAAUACAUCGGAACGUGCCCAGACGUGGGGGAUAACGAGGCGAAAGCUUUGCUAAUACCGCAUACGAUCUAAGGAUGAAAGCAGGGGACCGCAAGGCCUUGUGCGUUUGGAGCGGCCGAUGGCAGAUUAGGUAGUUGGUGGGAUAAAAGCUUACCAAGCCGACGAUCUGUAGCUGGUCUGAGAGGACGACCAGCCACACUGGGACUGAGACACGGCCCAGACUCCUACGGGAGGCAGCAGUGGGGAAUUUUGGACAAUGGGCGAAAGCCCGAUCCAGCAAUGCCGCGUGCAGGAUGAAGGCCUUCGGGUUGUAAACUGCUUUUGUACGGAACGAAAAGGCUCUGGCUAAUACCUGGGGCACAUGACGGUACCGUAAGAAUAAGCACCGGCUAACUACGUG